This is a long non-coding RNA of Passer montanus (Eurasian tree sparrow), 3182 nucleotides long. RefSeq lists it as uncharacterized. The record is from RefSeq and is a predicted model, not a curated record. NCBI's taxonomy places the organism in Eukaryota, Metazoa, Chordata, Aves, Passeriformes, Passeridae. The transcript is spliced from 3 exons.
ACCUGUGCUAUUAGAUUUCAUAUACAGAUUUCAUUUUUCUCUGAAGACUACAUUAAUUGGAAUGAACAUUCCUGUUUAUAUAAGGGCAGAAAAGGAAGAUAUCACCAUGCUGGAAAGCCUCACCUGACUUUUCUGGGCUGAUACUGUGCCUCCAGGGUAUUGCUGUGACUGUGAACAUAACCAGGGGCAUCUUCCUUUACUGUCUGCACAGACCAGGAUUUGCAAUGACUGUCAUAUGAUGGGAAGUGUUGGGGUUUGAGAUUCUGCUUCAGAAAUGAAUAAUUGUUGUAAUGUAAGUUUUCAGUGUUCUCUACAUUUUAUAAAAUCAGCAAAAGUUAUUUAAAAUAUUGUGUCUGUAAAAACAUCUUUAAAGGAGCCACUGCAAGGUUUCUUUUCUUGGCUUUAUUUUUCCUGUGUUCCUGCUGAAUGGUUGAUAAACCCUUUAAAAUUGUGUAGAAAAUAAUUUGGGAAAAGUAUUAGAUUUGCAUUAGGUGUGAAUUUAGUCUCACAUUAAUGAUGUGCUGCCAGCUAUUUAGAUGACAUUUACAAAAGAAGUAAAUGCCACUGGCUCAGUGCCAGAAAAACUGGAAGUAAGAGCAAGGAGAAAACAUUCGUCAUCCCUGAGGAUGAACAACAUAAAACAUGGCCCAGCUCCAAAGAGUUUUGUAAGUGUGAGGCAAGGUGCAGAACCCAGGCAGGCGGGAUGCAGGAGAAGGAUUUUGGGAUCCAGCUGUGUCAGGCACACCUGGCUCAGGCACAGCCCCAGGAGCACUCGCUGCUGCUCCAGCUGAGGGUGGGAGGUGGGAAAUAGGGCACAGGGACAAGCAGGGGACGUGGUCACAGCCUCACUCACUGCCCUGCCUUGCCAAGCCCCACACAGUCAGAUGUUUUAUGACAUCUGAGAAAACACCACUGGAAAAAAAAAAUGUUUUAUGUGGCCCAGACUGUUUUUCAUGCAUUCAAUUUCAUGCAUUCAAUUUCAUGCAAGCAGGAAUAUGACUCUUGCUGGCUUAAAAAUAGGGUUGUAAGUCCUUUGAAGCAUUUUUCCCCACCACUUUUUUUUUUUUUCAUCAGAAAAAAGACUUUGUAUUCUGUGAAAGGCACAGGACCCUGCUAGACAAAGUGGGAACAACCCCCCCCCCCUCCUUAGGAUAUUUCAAAAGCAAUGCUGCUGUGAUCAAUAAAUGAGAGAACAGGGGCAGAAAAUGGGUUGCAGGUCAAAAGAAUGUGAAAGGAAGGCAAACAGGAAUAAAAAAAGGAACCUGGACUUUUGCUGGCUAAACCAAAUUUCAAACACACGUAUAACCUAUAGACAAAUAAAAAUGUGUUUAUACAUCAGAAUGGAGAAUGUGAGUUCUGCUGUAUAUCUUGAAGAAGAACAGCAGCAGCAGUGCAGAUUUGUCCACUCUUCAGCACCAGCAGAUGUGGUCAGCAUUAAUAAUUUGGCAGAAAUGGAGAUCAAGGAGAUGACCCUCACAACCCACGGACACACAGAAGUCUCCUGCCUUGAAAACAAUCAAAAAUGAGACUGGAAAUGCUCAGAAAUACAAAACCAGUGGUCCUGGGAAAAAUAAAAUAAGUCACAGGUAUAUUUCACUUUAUUUAUUUGUUCUUCAUUUUGAUAGCACAUCUCAAAUUACACUUGGUAAUGAGAUCUUACAAAUCUUUCCCCUGCUCUGGGACAAAAAGCAAAAACCACUCAUGCAUAAGGUAUUGAAUGCAUUCACAUCAAGUAUGUUGUAUGUUGGGCUUUUGAACAUCAUAAAUAUGAGAACAUUAAACCAACUGGUAUUGGAAUUUUUUAACAAUAUCAUUGUUACAGAUCACAGCAGCUUAAAAGGUUUAACUCAAGUUUACUUAUUUCCAAUAUUUUUACUUGUAAAAGAUUCCAGUAAAGUUUGAUAAGAGAUUAAAAAAUAUAGAGGCCCAAAUACUACAAAAUAAUGUUUUAAAUAUGAAGCAUUUCUAUUUAGUUUGUAAGUUUUAAAACUCCCAAUGGCUUUUCUGCUUUGACUGGGAAUGCAGUUCUGAAAUUACUUAAGAUGAAGGUUAUGAAAUUCAUUUAUUUGUGAUUUUUAUGCAUCAUGAAACCUCUUGAAAGAGGUCUGGGCUUCCAGAAAUGUUGAACACCCAUCCUUUAAGAGGUCCUCAGCUAGAGACACAAAAUCUCCAUCUAUUCCUGCAAAUAUAAGCCACAACACUGGGGACCCACUAAUAAGAGUUCUCAGGUCUAAGAAAGCAGGAUAAGAAUGAGUAUAGAUUCUGUUAUGCAAGUUGAUUUUGCCUUUUUUUUUUUUUUAAGCUGUCACCUGAAUGCUUUGAUAGCCAUCAGGAACAAGAUAUUUUUGCAAUAGAGGGAUAGAGUCUAAUUGUAGAAGGGGAAGAAAAACUACCUACAGAAGCCAAGAUCAUGGUAAGAAAACGAAUUUAUUGAACAUCUUUUCUGAAAAGACUCUACCAUGCACAGGUGAAAUAUUGCUACAAACACUUGCUCUGAUCCUACAUCAUGCCUUAAACUGCUUUUUGAAAUAACUAAGGGAUGAAGGUGCAAGAUGAACCCAAGGAAACACCUGGGGAUGUACAAAAACACAGGAACAAAUCCAGGUGUUGUAACAUGGAUUAAUCUUAAUCCCUGGCUACCAGGCAUCUGCUUUCUAUAUAACCCUGAGUCAGUUCCUAGGAGCUUGUAGCAACACAGCUGGAAACAACCCUAAACUUUCAAUCUGGGACAUGGGGACUGUUUGCAAAGGAGGACAAAGCACGGGAGGAGGAAAGCUGGGUUGGGACUAACUCGGUUCAAGGGUUACAUUGAAUUAAAAAGCCAGCUCUCUGUCUUUUUAGAACAGGAAUUCAGACCUCUUUUUUUGCAUGUUGUAGGAUCCCUCAGGUGUCUCUGCAGCUCUCAGGUAUUAAACCACAAAGCUGCAAGAUCAAAGUAGUCCAGAUGCUCUGACAGAAGUAGGUAAGAGCGUGCAUCACAUCCACGUGGUGCUGAGAUCUCGGCCAUCGCACCGGCUGCUGACGGCUUCGUAAACACGUUCACUCCAGUUAUAAACUUACUUAUUUCUUGUGCCAAGACUUCAAUGUGCUUCAGUGCAUGAAGGAAAUUUACAACCCACUCCAGGAAUAUAUAUAUGUAUAUAUAUUCCAGCUCUCCCUUUCAUUUCAGUGAAAAAAAAAAA